Molecule: ribosomal RNA, 495 nt
Filed under: uncultured bacterium
Lineage: Bacteria
Description: partial 16S ribosomal RNA
Rfam family: Bacterial small subunit ribosomal RNA
Source: RNAcentral
GACGAACGCUGGCGGCGUGCCUAAUACAUGCAAGUAGAACGCUGAAGGAGGAGCUUGCUUCUCUGGAUGAGUUGCGAACGGGUGAGUAACGCGUAGGUAACCUGCCUGGUAGCGGGGGAUAACUAUUGGAAACGAUAGCUAAUACCGCAUAAUAGUAGAUGUUGCAUGACAUUUGCUUAAAAGGUGCAAUUGCAUCACUACCAGAUGGACCUGCGUUGUAUUAGCUAGUUGGUGAGGUAACGGCUCACCAAGGCGACGAUACAUAGCCGACCUGAGAGGGUGAUCGGCCACACUGGGACUGAGACACGGCCCAGACUCCUACGGGAGGCAGCAGUAGGGAAUCUUCGGCAAUGGACGGAAGUCUGACCGAGCAACGCCGCGGGAGUGAAGAAGGGUUUCGGAUCGUAAAGCUCUGUUGUAAGAGAAGAACGAGUGUGAGAGUGGAAAGUUCACACUGUGACGGUAUCUUACCAGAAAGGGACGGCUAACUACGUG